Molecule: ribosomal RNA, 941 nt
Filed under: uncultured bacterium
Lineage: Bacteria
Description: bacterial SSU rRNA
Rfam family: Bacterial small subunit ribosomal RNA
Source: RNAcentral
CAUGCAAGUCGAGGGGCAGCAUGUUGGUUGCUUGCAACCAAUGAUGGCGACCGGCGCACGGGUGAGUAACGCGUAUCCAACCUACCCUUGUCCAUCGGAUAACCCGUCGAAAGGCGGCCUAACACGAUAUGCGGUUCACAGCAGGCAUCUAAGGUGAACGAAAUGUGAAGGAGAAGGAUGGGGAUGCGUCUGAUUAGCUUGUUGGCGGGGUAACGGCCCACCAAGGCUACGAUCAGUAGGGGUUCUGAGAGGAAGGUCCCCCACAUUGGAACUGAGACACGGUCCAAACUCCUACGGGAGGCAGCAGUGAGGAAUAUUGGUCAAUGGACGAGAGUCUGAACCAGCCAAGUAGCGUGCAGGAUGACGGCCCUAUGGGUUGUAAACUGCUUUUAUAGGGGGAUAAAGUGUGCCACGUGUGGCAUAUUGCAGGUACCCUAUGAAUAAGGACCGGCUAAUUCCGUGCCAGCAGCCGCGGUAAUACGGAAGGUCCAGGCGUUAUCCGGAUUUAUUGGGUUUAAAGGGAGCGUAGGCCGUUUGGUAAGCGUGUUGUGAAAUGUCGGGGCUCAACCUGGGCAUUGCAGCGCGAACUGCCAGACUUGAGUGCGCAGGAAGUAGGCGGAAUUCGUCGUGUAGCGGUGAAAUGCUUAGAUAUGACGAAGAACUCCGAUUGCGAAGGCAGCCUGCUGUAGCGCAACUGACGCUGAAGCUCGAAAGCGUGGGUAUCGAACAGGAUUAGAUACCCUGGUAGUCCACGCGGUAAACGAUGGAUGCUCGCUGUUUGCGUCUGACGUAAGCGGCCAAGCGAAAGCGUUAAGCAUCCCACCUGGGGAGUACGCCGGCAACGGUGAAACUCAAAGGAAUUGACGGGGGCCCGCACAAGCGGAGGAACAUGUGGUUUAAUUCGAUGAUACGCGAGGAACCUUACCCGGGCUUGAACUGUA